UCGAGAAUUUUUCUCAAUGGGGGCAACCCUGAAGGAGCGACGCCGCGUGGAGGAUGAAGGUCUUCGGAUUGUAAACUCCUGUCAUUGGUGAACAAGGCCGGCCCUUAACUGGGAGCCGGAUUGAUAGUAGCCGAAGAGGAAGGGACGGCUAACUCUGUGCCAGCAGCCGCGGUAAUACAGAGGUCCCGAGCGUUGUUCGGAUUCAUUGGGCGUAAAGGGUGCGUAGGCGGCGGGGUAAGUCUGAUGUGAAAUCCCGGGGCUCAACUCCGGAACUGCAUUGGAUACUGCCUUGCUUGAGUACUGGAGAGGAGACUGGAAUUUACGGUGUAGCAGUGAAAUGCGUAGAGAUCGUAAGGAAGACCAGUGGCGAAGGCGAGUCUCUGGACAGUUACUGACGCUGAGGCACGAAGGCCAGGGGAGCAAACGG
RNAcentral lists this ribosomal RNA (427 nucleotides) under uncultured bacterium. RNAcentral's name for it is "bacterial SSU rRNA". It matches the Rfam family "Bacterial small subunit ribosomal RNA", at positions 355 to 775 of the family's 1533-position model. The record is from RNAcentral.